UACGUAGGUGGCAAGCGUUGUCCGGAAUUAUUGGGCGUAAAGCGCGCGCAGGCGGUCCUUUAAGUCUGAUGUGAAAGCCCACGGCUCAACCGUGGAGGGUCAUUGGAAACUGGGGGACUUGAGUACAGAAGAGAAGAGUGGAAUUCCACGUGUAGCGGUGAAAUGCGUAGAUAUCUGGAGGAACACCGGAGGCGAAGGCGAAUCACUGGACCGCUUCUGACGCUGAGGCGCGAAAGCUAGGGGAGCAAACAGG
Molecule: ribosomal RNA, 253 nt
Filed under: uncultured bacterium
Lineage: Bacteria
Description: partial 16S ribosomal RNA
Rfam family: Bacterial small subunit ribosomal RNA
Source: RNAcentral